UCCCUGGUGGCUCAGAUGGUAAAGCAUCUGCCUACAAUGCAGAAGACCUGGGUUCCAUCCCUGGGUUGGGAA
This 72-nucleotide transfer RNA is filed under the name Bos taurus (domestic cattle). It matches the Rfam family "tRNA". Rfam says of the family: Transfer RNA (tRNA) molecules are approximately 80 nucleotides in length. Their secondary structure includes four short double-helical elements and three loops (D, anti-codon, and T loops). Lineage: Eukaryota; Metazoa; Chordata; Mammalia; Artiodactyla; Bovidae. The record is from Rfam by way of RNAcentral. RNAcentral also lists the same sequence under 2 other names.